Molecule: transfer RNA, 76 nt
Filed under: bacterium
Lineage: Bacteria
Also listed under: 1 other name
Description: tRNA-Arg
Rfam family: tRNA
About the family: Transfer RNA (tRNA) molecules are approximately 80 nucleotides in length.
Source: RNAcentral
GGGCUCGUAGCUCAGCGGAUAGAGCACCUGCCUCCUAAGCAGGGGGUCGCGCGUUCGAUUCGCGCCGGGCCCACCA